GGAGACGUAUCGAAGUGGUCAUAACGAGCCUGACUCGAAAUCAGGUAGGCCGCAAGGUCUCGUGGGUUCGAAUCCCACCGUCUCCGCCA
RNAcentral lists this transfer RNA (89 nucleotides) under Bacillota bacterium. RNAcentral describes it as "tRNA-Ser". It matches the Rfam family "tRNA". Rfam says of the family: Transfer RNA (tRNA) molecules are approximately 80 nucleotides in length. Lineage: Bacteria; Bacillati; Bacillota. The record is from RNAcentral.